UGCCCAGCAACUCCUAUCUCUACCUCCUUGUGGUGCCGGCCGGAAACUAUGAGCAACCUUAGGGAAGA
This is a non-coding RNA of Aedes albopictus (Asian tiger mosquito), 68 nucleotides long. Lineage: Eukaryota; Metazoa; Arthropoda; Insecta; Diptera; Culicidae. The record is from Rfam.